Pantherophis guttatus is the source of this 2705-nucleotide non-coding RNA. The record is from RefSeq and is a predicted model, not a curated record. NCBI's taxonomy places the organism in Eukaryota, Metazoa, Chordata, Lepidosauria, Squamata, Colubridae.
CUGAAUUCCCAAGCUGGCCUAGUAACUGACAGUGCCGUCAGCGUUUUGAGUGGCGCGUCCUGUUUAGCAAUUCCUAAACUGCGUCCAUGUACGAAUCGCCUAAAACUGUUUAGACAAACAGGACGUAACCUGCUCUGAAAUCCCUGAGGAUAGUGGCGACCUAUAUAAUUUGGCCGGGAGAUGUCUUGCUUUGUACAAAGAAAAGGUCAGACUAAUUUCCCAAAGAGUUAAUGACCUGUCAGUGGUUGGAGACCCAUGAAACAUGAAGCCAUUAAUUCAAAGGCCACAGAUAAGUUAUAUUGAAUUACUCUCUGUUAUCUUCUCUGUUUAGAUGAUCCUCACUAGCCUGUGAGGCUGGAAUAUGUGUAUAAACACAGUAUAAACUGUUCAUGUUGAUCUCCUAAACGUAUGCCUUACCUAGAUCUACUUUGGGAGUUGGAAACUUGAAUCGAUGUUAUCAGAUGAGUUAGAGUCUAAACCAGAGUUGCUGGUUCAGUUUGUUCAGAACACAUCUAUCCCACUAGGACAGGGGCUUGUGGAAUCAGAACCUAAAAAUAUUACCUGUCUAUCUCUUCUUCCCGUUACAGAAUCCCCACAAUGCAACAGGUUGAUAUUGCCAGAUGAUUCCCCAAACCAUAUUCACUCUUCCAAGCAUGCUUCUUCUUCGGCUGUUCUGCGAAGUCUCCAAGUAAAUGUUGGCCCUGAUGGUGAGGAGACAAGGGCACAAACAGUACAGAAACCACCUGACCUUCUUCCAAGUCCUGAUACUUCUACCUUAUUGCAAGAUCUUCAGCCUGGUGAUAACACUUCCUUUAUUCUCCUCAAUUUAACCCGGACAGGCCUAGGGUCUUCUUCAGAACACCUGGUAUUUGUCCAGGAUGGAGCAGUUGAUUCUGGGAACAAUUUCUUUGCGAAUAAUAGUACAGACAGCAGUACCCCAUGGUUUUUACGUGUACAAGAACUGGCUCAUGAUAGUUUGAUUGCUGCCACCCGAGCACAGCUCGCUAAGAAUGCCAAAGCAAGCAAUAAUGGGGAAAAUGUUCAUGUUUGUUCAGGAGAAUCACAGCCGAAGGAAUCCAGCCCCAUUCCUCACUUACCCCGGGUAGAAAAAAAAUUGCAGUGCACUGUUGAAGGCUGUGAUCGAACAUUUGUAUGGCCAACUCACUUCAAAUAUCAUCUAAAAACCCACAGGAAUGAUCGCUCCUACACAUGUCCAGCAAAAGAUUGUGGGAAAAGCUUUUAUGUUUUACAAAGAUUGAAGGUGCACAUGAGAACACAUAAUGGUGAGAAACCAUUUAUUUGCUCUGAACUAGGCUGUGGAAAGCAAUUUACAACAGCUGGGAAUCUGAAGAAUCAUCUGCGAAUUCACACUGGGGAAAAGCCUUUUUUAUGUGAGGCCCAGGGCUGUGGUCGUUCCUUUGCUGAAUAUUCCAGCCUUCGGAAACAUCUAGUUGUCCAUUCAGGACUAAAGCCACACCAAUGUCAAAUUUGUGGGAAGACGUUUUCUCAGAGUGGUAGUAGAAAUGUACACAUGAAGAAACAUCAUUCGAGGGUUGAAACAAUUAGCAAUAGGCAGCAUGAGCAAACAGAAUCACUGAUGGGCAGCAGUUUGUUGGAAGAAUCUGAAUUAGACAGUAAGAGCCUGGUGUCAAUGAAUUCUCCAUCUAGCCUUGUUGAAUCUUUGCAUUUGCCAGAUCCGGAAUCAAUCAUUGGUGUAAAAGAAGAGGUUCUAGCUGAAGCAGCAGUAAAUUCUCUUCAUGAUGUAUCUGAUGUGGUUUUGCCAUCUCAUCAUCUGAUGCCCAUGUCAACAUCAAGGCACUCUUACGGCGUAUCAUCCUUACUACAAUAAAUUCUUAGGUCUGAAGGUUUCUGUUUUGAAAAAUGUAGUGCUAGUCCCUUUAAUUUCAGAAAAUAUUUGCUCCUGUGAUUGAAGAACUGAGAUUGGAAAUCUACUAGCCCCCUUUCUGAAAGAGUGGGAAGAGAUACCCACUUCAGAAUGCUCUGUCCUCACUGUAGAAGAAGGAUCUUCAUGUUACAGAAGAACAGCAAAUCUGUGACACUGAAUAUAUGAUACUAUAUGAAGCUAAAGAACAGGCUUUUCAAGUUGACAUUUAAAUUCCUGGAAUUUGUGCAGUGUCUCCAGUGUACUUAUGACAUGGUGGAGCAGAGGCCUGGACUAUGGUUUUGCUUCAGUCAGUGAAAAAAAACUUUGUUUUCUAAGAGAGGAUGGAACAGCAGCUAUUAAUUAUGAAUUUAAUAUUUAACCUGGUGUCCAAAAGCCAGGAGAUAAUGUUCUUGUACCUAGUUUAAAGCCAGAUUUUUUUUUCUUUUUUGAAGUGACCAUAAGCUCAACAUUAUAAUGGCUUGUUCUUGGAGAAAUAUCUUUUAAGUAGUAAUAAAUUCUGCACUUUGGUGUGGCAGUUCUGGUUUUGCUUCUUAUUUAUAAGGGCAGUUGGUGGUACUUUCAUCGGGAAUUUUUGCCUUCCCAUGCUUUGUGUGGAUAUGUUUACUAACAUUGCUUUUGGUCCAAACUGAAGAUCUCAUACUAUUCAGAGUAUUGCUUCGGUCACACUUGGUUCUUGCUGUGAUAUUUUAAUAUCUAAUUAUUAGGUUUAAUAGAUUUUUUUUUGUUUUUAAAAAAAAUCAAAGGUAGAAAUUAUUCAGUGGCAUUCUGUUGUAAAUAAACUAUAUAUUUCCAUUCUCAA